RNAcentral lists this ribosomal RNA (497 nucleotides) under uncultured bacterium. Its description in RNAcentral is "partial 16S ribosomal RNA". It matches the Rfam family "Bacterial small subunit ribosomal RNA", at positions 28 to 507 of the family's 1533-position model. The record is from RNAcentral.
GAUGAACGCUGGCGGCGUGCCUAAUACAUGCAAGUCGAGCGAACGGACGAGAAGCUUGCUUUUCUGAUGUUAGCGGCGGACGGGUGAGUAACACGUGGAUAACCUACCUAUAAGACUGGGAUAACUUCGGGAAACCGGAGCUAAUACCGGAUAAUAUUUUGAACCGCAUGGUUCAAAAGUGAAAGACGGUCUUGCUGUCACUUAUAGAUGGAUCCGCGCUGCAUUAGCUAGUUGGUAAGGUAACGGCUUACCAAGGCAACGAUGCAUAGCCGACCUGAGAGGGUGAUCGGCCACACUGGAACUGAGACACGGUCCAGACUCCUACGGGAGGCAGCAGUAGGGAAUCUUCCGCAAUGGGCGAAAGCCUGACGGAGCAACGCCGCGUGAGUGAUGAAGGUCUUCGGAUCGUAAAGCUCUUUUAUUAGGGAAGAACAUAUGUGUAAGUAACUGUGCACAUCUUGACGGUACCUAAUCAGAAAGCCACGGCUAACUACGUG